CUCUGCUUUGCUGAAUCCAGGUCAUGAACCUCAGUUUACUAUGCUGUGCAGCAUUUUGUUUCCUGCAGGCAGGUUCGGUGAAUGCUGGCAUCAUUCAGACUCCGAAAUCAUUGCUCCUAAAGACAGGACAACAUGUGAUAAUGAGAUGUACCCAGGAUAUGAAACAUGACUCCAUGUUCUGGUACCGACAGGAUCCAGGCUUGGGACUCAGGCUAAUCUAUUACUCAUAUGACGUUGACGCCAUCAGCAAAGGAGAUGUCCCUGAUGGAUACAAUGUCUCCAGACCGAGAACAGAGGAUUUCCCCCUCACUCUAAAAUCAGCCUCUCCCUCCCAAACAUCUGUCUACUUCUGUGCCAGCAGUUAUACCACAGAGCUGUGUGGCUGCCUCUUCCCUGCACAUAAAGAUACACGCAGACAAGAGGCACCCAGCCCUGGAACUCAGUGGCACACUGGAGUUCUCAACACUGGAAGGCCGCAGGUGUGUUCUCAGAAGUGCACACCUCAGUCGGUUCUGAGUGGCAUCUUUUUGCGGGCUCAGCCAGGUUUGGACUAG
Psammomys obesus (fat sand rat) is the source of this 554-nucleotide non-coding RNA. NCBI's taxonomy places the organism in Eukaryota, Metazoa, Chordata, Mammalia, Rodentia, Muridae. The record is from the annotation of a RefSeq genome assembly.